RNAcentral lists this ribosomal RNA (253 nucleotides) under uncultured bacterium. RNAcentral's name for it is "partial 16S ribosomal RNA". It matches the Rfam family "Bacterial small subunit ribosomal RNA", at positions 524 to 776 of the family's 1533-position model. The record is from RNAcentral.
UACGGAGGAUGCAAGCGUUAUCCGGAAUGAUUGGGCGUAAAGCGUCCGCAGGUGGUUGUGUGUGUCUAUUGUCAAAGCAUCAUACUUAACAUGAUAAAGGCAGUAGAAACUACACGACUAGAGUGCGUUCGGGGCAGAGGGAAUUCCUGGUGUAGCGGUGAAAUGCGUAGAGAUCAGGAAGAACACCGGUGGCGAAAGCGCUCUGCUAGGCCGCAACUGACACUGAGCGUCGAAAGCUAGGGGAGCGAAUGGA